Molecule: long non-coding RNA, 2979 nt
Organism: Cyprinus carpio carpio
Lineage: Eukaryota; Metazoa; Chordata; Actinopteri; Cypriniformes; Cyprinidae
Source: Ensembl
UAUAUAUAUAUAUAUAUAUAUAGCAGAUGUGCCACUACAUUCUUAUCCAGUUGCAAUUCUAUGUUUCAACCGCUUCUACAAUCCUGUAAUAAUUAUUCACGAGGUUAAUGAAUAUUCAUGAAGUGGGCGGUCCAUGAAGUCACGUGAUUCUGUCGCGCUCGUGAACCGCGGCCAGGGAAGUUUUUUUCCGUUACUUCUACUUUUAUAAUGUGAAGUUUAACUUAGAAUAACGCUUUUCGAUCUCUACAGCCGAGAGGUGGUCUACGUCCAUAGAGAGAUUGUGGAGUACAAAGAUGUCCAAGCCUGCUUCUCGUAGCUCUCAGCUGCUGCUGUCGGAUCAGAAGUGUGCUAAAUGUCUGUUGGAGACGUAUGUCAAGCGGAGCCUCAGCCUGAAUGAAGGAUGCAGGAAACAUCAGCUAAAUAAACACAAAUGGCUUAAACCAGACAGGCAGUCCAGACGGGCGUCCAGUGACACCUCCACCCAGCGUUUGAGAGUAGAGAGGCUCCUGAAGACCAGCGAGUGCCCUGAAUGCACAACACCAGAACUUGUCACUAGGAGAAAGAGCACCAAAGCACCAAACAGAACCAAAUCAUUCUUCAGAGGCUUUCUCCACCUCUUCUCUAAGAAGAAGACCGAGCCCAAAGUGAAAGAUGAGCGAGUUACAGAAACAGACUCUGGACAACAUAUGAUAGAACGGGGGCUUCGCUCUUCUCAGAAAGGCUCAUCUGGCCUCAGUGUGAGGAAAAAACACUCUCUGAGAAGGAUCUUCUUUAGCAAUCAAAAUGAUGAGAAAAGAGAGUCCCUGCAAAAGGACUCCUCUCGUGUUCGUGGAGGCGUGGAGGGGCUUUCAGACGUGAGCGUGGACUCUGAUAAUACAUACUUUGAGAAGGUGUCAGAAGAACUGGAGUUGAUUGUGAAGGAGAUUCAGUUCAGUCCAAAAGAAGAUGCUCCGCUUCUCUCUUCUGCUUCUGCAAGAGACUGCAGCUCUUCAGGUGAUGACACUACAGAGAGGAUUACCAGCCUGCUGAAGCAACAUGGGGAUAUUAUUGAUCAGAAAAUAAGCAGGAACAAGAGUGUCCAAGACUUCCUCCAGAAACUGUCUUACAGCUCCUUCCAGCAGCUGGCUGAUCGCUACAUAGCGCAGAUCCCCAGUCCUCUUCCCCAGACCACAGACGCCUCCCCUGAGCUGGUCAGACUCGCCUUCACCCUGGACUUUACCGCCAAAGUGGCUGGAUUGUGCAGCCAGACAGUCGGUCGGAUCAUGGGGUUUGGUAACCAGUACCUUCAGGAUUCCUUCACACAAAUGUGUGCAGCCCACAGACAGGUGCCAGAAGAUUUGGAAGAACAGAGUACAAGUGAUACAGACUGACUGUGAAGUCAAAAACGACAAAAAAAAAAAAAGAUAAAAAGUGCAAUAGAGUUAACUCAGGGGGGGGGGAAACUGAUGUAUUUGUAGCUGCUUUUGUGAAUAAGCCAAAUUUAGUAGUUUGUUUAUACUAUAAGUUUACAGUGACUGACUGUGAAAAUUACAACAGUUGAACCUGAUACUAAAACUGUGAAUAAUAUUUGUUUUUUUUACACCAAAUUAGCAUAUUCUACUGAUUUCUGAAUGAUAAUGUGACAUUGAAGACUGAGUAAUGACUGCUUAUUUUAAAUUAUAAUUGAGCUAUUUUAAAAUGUAUUAAAAUAGAAAAAAGUUCUGUUAAAUUGUAAUAACAUUUCAAAAUAUUGCUGUUUUUACUGUAUUGUUAAUUAAAUAAAUGCAGCCUUGGUAAAUAUAAGAGACUUCUUAUAAAAACAUUUUUUAAAAAUCAUACCGGCCCCAAACUUCUGAUCCGUAGUGUACAUUGGAGAUAUUUUGGAGAUAAAUGUGUGACAUUGAGGCUAAACCAUGGAAAACUGAACGUUUAUUGGGGCUGUGUGGAACCUCAUUUCAGAAAUGAUAUUUACGCUAAACAACAUUACACAUGGGUAUAAAAUGUAAGAUAUGGAUCACAACAAUCAUGUGUUAUUUGGCUAGAUCAGGUUGAGCAUCUCCUUGCAUAUAUGGCAUUUCUAAAAGGUAAUUUGUCAUGUUUUUUUAACUGAGGAGAUGGCAUCAGUAUGCUGCAGAUGCAUCAUACGACUGCAUGAUUGAGGCCCAUGUUUCAAUAUACUCUGUUGUGCCAUUGUGCUACAAUCAUUUAGUAAAACCACAUUUGGUUUCUUUUGCAGAGUUUAUGUCUUUAUAAAUGGUUGCCAUGAAAUAAUGGCAGCAUUUGUUAGUGGAUGUGAAUGGCAGCAGUGGCGUCUGGAAUGGUAUUAGCCACCCUUGACAUUUCAGUGCAUCCUGUAUAAAGUUGCACAUUCUGCUUUGAGCACCACUGCUAAUCGAUCUCAACUGAUUCCUGGAGCUUGAAGUCAGAGCUUGAUGAAAGUCCUGUGAUCCAACCACCUAAUUAACCUAACAGCUGUGGCCAUACAACACAGUGAAAACAGGAGCGUGUAGAGCUUUGGGAGGGUCUGUGCCAUGGAGGGACUCGGUGGGAGAACAGCAAAGACGCGCCCAUUCAGAUUCGAGGAGGUCAUCGUGUGUCUCUCAGACAGCUCUCUGCGUCUGUGCUGCUCAGGGUGAACUUGCACAAGUAUAAAACUGAUCAGACUCAGCAUCCUUUGCAAAAGACAGAAGACGGUUAUGAUUUUUUUUCCACAAUGGUAGCAUUAACAAUUAACAGCAGAAAACCUUUUUUAUUUUUAUUGUGUGCUUACAUAUCUCCAAAGGCUUUUCUUGUAGAGGACAGUACAAUUUUGAGUGUAAAAAUCAUGAAGAUCUUAAUCCCAUGCCAGAGCCAGUAUGCCACAGUCAUAGCAUUAGUGAUCCGUUUCUGAUAUCUGCAAAACCACAAAUCACAAGUGCUCAUGAGCAGCAUAAGAAUGUUGCCUUUUAAAAUAAAACCUUGUAGGUCAGGGGUGUCCAAAGUCCAGCACGUGGGCCAAUU